CCGAUCAAGCAUGGAUGUGGCUUUCGACAGGGUGACCCUCUCUCGCCGUUGCUCUUUGUAUUGGCCAUUGAUCCGUUGCACCACAUCUUGGAAAAGGCCACCUCUCAGGGUCUUCUGCACCCGCUAGGCAGUCGCUUCACGGGCAUUAGGGCUUCCUUAUAUGCUGACGAUGCGACAAUUUUUUGCGCCCCUAUCAAGGAAGAUGUUAGUUUCAUUGCCAACACGCUCUCCUCCUUUGGUGAAUCAACGGGGCUGGUCACCAACUGUGCGAAGAGCUUGGUUGCCCCCAUCCAAUGCACAAAUCUGGACCUUAAUGACAUCCUGCAACAUUUCCCGGCCUGCCGAUCAUCAUUCCCAAUUCGCUACUUAGGCCUUCCGCUUGCGAUUCGACGGCUCAAAAGGAUCCAUUUACAACACCUUGAAGACAAAGCAGUCGGAAAGCUUGCACCUUGGAGAGGGAGACAUGUGGCUAUUGCGGGCCGAAUGGCCUUUGUCAAGGCGGUCCUCACGGCGGUGGCCAUCUAC
RNAcentral lists this ribosomal RNA (525 nucleotides) under Triticum aestivum (bread wheat). Its description in RNAcentral is "partial small subunit ribosomal RNA". Lineage: Eukaryota; Viridiplantae; Streptophyta; Magnoliopsida; Poales; Poaceae. The record is from RNAcentral.